This 530-nucleotide ribosomal RNA is filed under the name uncultured bacterium. RNAcentral describes it as "bacterial SSU rRNA". It matches the Rfam family "Bacterial small subunit ribosomal RNA", at positions 777 to 1304 of the family's 1533-position model. The record is from RNAcentral.
AAUAGAUACCCAGGUAGUCCACGCCGUAAACGAUGAGUGCUAAGUGUUAGAGGGUUUCCGCCCUUUAGUGCUGCAGCUAACGCAUUAAGCACUCCGCCUGGGGAGUACGGUCGCAAGACUGAAACUCAAAGGAAUUGACGGGGGCCCGCACAAGCGGUGGAGCAUGUGGUUUAAUUCGAAGCAACGCGAAGAACCUUACCAGGUCUUGACAUCCCACUGACCGGUAUAGAGAUAUACCUUUCCCUUCGGGGACAGUGGUAACAGGUGGUGCAUGGUUGUCGUCAGCUCGUGUCGUGAGAUGUUGGGUUAAGUCCCGCAACGAGCGCAACCCUUGAUCUUAGUUGCCAGCAUUUAGUUGGGCACUCUAAGGUGACUGCCGGUGACAAACCGGAGGAAGGUGGGGAUGACGUCAAAUCAUCAUGCCCCUUAUGACCUGGGCUACACACGUGCUACAAUGGAUGGUACAAAGGGCUGCAAGACUGCGAAGUCAAGCCAAUCCCAUAAAAACCAUUCUCAGUUCGGAUUGCAGG